CCAAAUCUGGCAAAAUAAAGCCAGAUUUGCCUAUAACCCGAACUGAGUCCGACCCACCUUCAACCCAAAUAUAAUGACCAGAGGCUCUCGGGCUCCCCUGGGAUUUUCCAAGUAAGCGUCGUGCAAGAGCGGUGCCGAUGAGGAGGCUUCUAGAGAUUGGGCCACCGAACCCGCUGAGGUAUUUGAUCGGGGCGAUGGUCAUGAUGGUGGGAAUUGUUUUGCCUGUCGGAUACAUGAUGUUCAGGAACAAGCGCAUCCCGUCGUCGUCGGCCUACUCGAAGCAGACGGGAAAAACUUGAUGUAACAGUUCAAUUUGGAAGCGCAUAGUUGGAAAUUAGGAACCAAUGACUGCUCGAAGAACAUGCAUGUUAUUAAUUAGUUUUUUGAUUUGGUUCAAUGGUGACAACCAAUGUGAAAAUGGAAUUUUCGGGAUGGCCAGGCAAUAAAAUUUUGAUGGAUCUCACAAA
Nymphaea colorata (pocket water lily) is the source of this 467-nucleotide long non-coding RNA. RefSeq lists it as uncharacterized. The record is from RefSeq and is a predicted model, not a curated record. The transcript is spliced from 3 exons. Lineage: Eukaryota; Viridiplantae; Streptophyta; Magnoliopsida; Nymphaeales; Nymphaeaceae.